RNA transcript from Salvia splendens (bonfire salvia), 959 nucleotides. It is a transcript of the gene named protein RESISTANCE TO PHYTOPHTHORA 1, chloroplastic-like, with no coding region annotated. The transcript is spliced from 5 exons. The record is from RefSeq and is a predicted model, not a curated record. Lineage: Eukaryota; Viridiplantae; Streptophyta; Magnoliopsida; Lamiales; Lamiaceae.
CUCACCUCACAUCACAGGUAUUAUCAACAACAUGAGCGCUCUAACCUCAUCCUCUCUCUUCAACUCUCAUAGCAUUUCAAGAUUUCCAUCAUCAUUUUCACACCCCACAAGUUAUUCCAUCAGGAUUGGUUUUCCCAUCAAGAUUCCCAGAAUCCGAGCGAGUUCAAACGAGCUAGACAUCAAAACAGACCAACAAUCUGUAGAAGAUGUUCAAGAACCUGAUAAUGAUCUAAGAACUGAAAAGGGCAGCAAUAAUUCAAGUGGGACAACACCAGCACUAGAUAAAGAUCUCAAAAAGGUAGUCCAAAAGACUGCAGCUACUUUUGCACCAAGGGCUUCCACUGCAUCCAAAAACCCUGCUGUGCCAGGCACUGUUUUAUACACCGUGUUUGAGGUUCAAGGAUACGCAUCUCUGUUGCUAGGAGGAGCUCUCUCCUUCAACCUCGUAUUCCCAUCAAACGAGCCAGAUCUAUGGCGGCUGAUGGGCAUGUGGUCCAUAUGGAUGUUCACUAUUCCUUCCCUUCGUGCACGGGACUGUUCCAAGAACGAGAAAGAAGCUCUCAACUAUCUCUUCCUCCUCGUUCCAUUGCUCAAUGUCACGAUCCCAUUUUUCUUGAAAUCAUUUGCAGUCGUCUGGUCUGCAGACGUUGUAGCCUUCUUUGGGAUGUAUGCUUGGAAGCUCGGAUGGUUUUCUCAGAGAGAGUAGAGUAGGGCAGCAAUGUGGGAUGGAUACAUCCUACAGCUUCUUGAUUCGUUAAGCAGCUUAGCUUUGGAACACUCUGGGAAUGGUAUUCUUGGUAGAUAUUCGACAAAUGGAUGCUCAGGCGUGGGAGAGAGAACAAUCAAAUUUUAAUUACAAGUAUGCAUCUAAUUUAUGUCUAAACUACGACAUAGUCUGACAUGCCAUUCGCCCAAAUGGCUUCAUCUCAAAAUAGAAUGGAAGUUGUUUUUUCAGUCAA